AGUGAACGCUGGCGGUAUGCCUAACACAUGCAAGUCGAACGGCAGCACAGUAAGAGCUUGCUCUUACGGGUGGCGAGUGGCGGACGGGUGGGGAAUACAUCGGAAUCUACUUUUUCGUGGGGGAUAACGUAGGGAAACUUACGCUAAUACCGCAUACGACCUACGGGUGAAAGCAGGGGAUCUUCGGACCUUGCGCGAUUGAAUGAGCCGAUGUCGGAUUAGCUAGUUGGCGGGGUAAAGUCCCACCAAGGCGACGAUCCGUAGCUGGUCUGAGAGGAUGAUCAGCCACACUGGAACUGAGACACGGUCCAGACUCCUACGGGAGGCAGCAGUGGGGAAUAUUGGACAAUGGGCGCAAGCCUGAUCCAGCAAUACCGCGUGGGUGAAGAAGGCCUUCGGGUUGUAAAGCCCUUUUGUUGGGAAAGAAAAGCAGCAGGUUAAUACCCCGCUGUUCUGACGGUACCCAAAGAAUAAGCACCGGCUAACUUCGUG
This 492-nucleotide ribosomal RNA is filed under the name uncultured bacterium. RNAcentral's name for it is "partial 16S ribosomal RNA". It matches the Rfam family "Bacterial small subunit ribosomal RNA", at positions 29 to 507 of the family's 1533-position model. The record is from RNAcentral.